Molecule: ribosomal RNA, 400 nt
Filed under: uncultured bacterium
Lineage: Bacteria
Description: bacterial SSU rRNA
Rfam family: Bacterial small subunit ribosomal RNA
Source: RNAcentral
CUGGUCUUGACAUCCUGGGAACCCCGAAGAGAUUUGGGGGUGCCGCAAGGAGCCCAGAGACAGGUGCUGCAUGGCUGUCGUCAGCUCGUGUCGUGAGAUGUUGGGUUAAGUCCCGCAACGAGCGCAACCCUUGUCCUUAGUUGCCAGCAUUAAGUUGGGCACUCUAAGGAGACCGCCGGUGACAAACCGGAGGAAGGUGGGGAUGACGUCAAGUCAUCAUGGCCUUUAUGACCAGGGCUACACACGUGCUACAAUGGCAGAUACAGAGGGAAGCCAACUCGCGAGAGGGAGCCAAUCCCAGAAAAUCUGUCGUAGUCCGGAUCGGAGUCUGCAACUCGACUCCGUGAAGUCGGAAUCGCUAGUAAUCGCAGAUCAGCAUUGCUGCGGUGAAUACGUUCCC